GAUGAACGCUGGCGGCGUGCCUAAUACAUGCAAGUCGAGCGAACGGACGAGAAGCUUGCUUCUCUGAUGUUAGCGGCGGACGGGUGAGUAACACGUGGAUAACCUACCUAUAAGACUGGGAUAACUUCGGGAAACCGGAGCUAAUACCGGAUAAUAUUUUGAACCGCAUGGUUCAAAAGUGAAAGACGGUCUUGCUGUCACUUAUAGAUGGAUCCGCGCUGCAUUAGCUAGUUGGUAAGGUAACGGCUUACCAAGGCAACGAUGCAUAGCCGACCUGAGAGGGUGAUCGGCAACACUGGAACUGAGACACGGUCCAGACUCCUACGGGAGGCAGCAGUAGGGAAUCUUCCGCAAUGGGCGAAAGCCUGACGGAGCAACGCCGCGUGAGUGAUGAAGGUCUUCGGAUCGUAAAACUCUGUUAUUAGGGAAGAACAAAUGUGUAAGUAACUGUGCACAUCUUGACGGUACCUAAUCAGAAAGCCACGGCUAACUACGUG
This 497-nucleotide ribosomal RNA is filed under the name uncultured bacterium. RNAcentral describes it as "partial 16S ribosomal RNA". It matches the Rfam family "Bacterial small subunit ribosomal RNA", at positions 28 to 507 of the family's 1533-position model. The record is from RNAcentral.